This 77-nucleotide transfer RNA is filed under the name Gulosibacter sp. ACHW.36C. Its description in RNAcentral is "tRNA-Ile". It matches the Rfam family "tRNA". Rfam says of the family: Transfer RNA (tRNA) molecules are approximately 80 nucleotides in length. Their secondary structure includes four short double-helical elements and three loops (D, anti-codon, and T loops). Lineage: Bacteria; Bacillati; Actinomycetota; Actinomycetes; Micrococcales; Microbacteriaceae. The record is from RNAcentral.
GGGGCGAUAGCUCAGCUGGUUAGAGCAGUGGACUCAUAAUCCAUCGGUCACGGGUUCAAGUCCCGUUCGCCCCACCA